Grus americana (Whooping crane) is the source of this 4148-nucleotide long non-coding RNA. RefSeq lists it as uncharacterized. The record is from RefSeq and is a predicted model, not a curated record. The transcript is spliced from 4 exons. Lineage: Eukaryota; Metazoa; Chordata; Aves; Gruiformes; Gruidae.
CUGCCUGUGCACGCUUCACUUUUUGCGCUUUUGCAAAGGGUGGUGCAACACCGCUGCUGUGAUGCAGCGCUGCCAGGUUUACAUGCGUAUGUGCAAAACAACAAGGGCAGGGCAGCAGGGAAACAACCCUCUUGCUACAAGCUAAUAUAACUCCAGAGCCGGCUACAGAUGCAGCCAGCUCUUCUGAGACCACGCUCAGCUCCUUGUCUUUGGUUGUAAUUUCACAAGUGUUGUCCCUUCAUGUGGUGCUGUAAAAUGCACAGAGCGAGGAACUUAACUAGUUGGAUUAACUAGGUUGGAUAAGUGGAUCAGGGCAGACUUGCUGAAGGAAUGCCGGUGUAAACACAGCCAGCUGCCUGCAGAUUGCUCUCUCUUGCUGGGACACUGCUGAGGAUGUUUAUCUGGGUGCUUGAGGAGGGUGGUAAGGUGAAGCAGUAAGCGUUGUGAUAGGAUAGAAGAAUAAAAUCAGAAGAGGAAAUGAAAGAAGAGAUGUAGGCAGAGGUAAAGCCUUUGGUAUUUUCUGUUCUGCUUUUUUUACGAUGUGAUAAAGGAGGGAGGGAGAAAUAUCCCUUAAAAUGGGUGAGCUGAAAACAAUGACAAUUAUUUCUACUGCUUCCCCUGUCUUUUCCCCUCCUGCAUCUAAGGGAGGGAAGGAUUAGUUAGCUAAUAUUUGCAUGGUGGUGAGGAAGCAGCAUUGGCUGUACAGCCCAAGUAUUAUUCUUUUUUUCUCUGUUACCACUUCCUAAGCAGCCAUUGCCAAAUGUGCUUGGACCCCAUACAGCACAAUCAGGUCUCAAUUGCACCACUCACGUGGCGGUUGGGAGGAAAGGCAAACAGUACUCUCUGAUGGAGUCAGACAACAUGGGGGUGAGGUGAAGAAUUGCGAUGAUCAAAGUGGAAGCUUGGAAAAGACCAAGCAGCCUGGAAUGGCAACGAUCUCAAACCAAAGGUGCAGAUGGCUUAGGGCAAGUGAAGCGGGUGUCUCACCUCCAUCUCCCAGACCUGGGUCUGCAGCUGAAGGCACCUAAUUUCCAGUUCCUCUGCUAUGGAUGAGUCAGGAUCAUCUGAAAAGGAAGGUACAGCCUUAAAGAAGGGCUAUAGAUAACCCGUGUCACGCAGCACAGAUGCCCCAGCAGUACCUGCCUGUACCGUAAGUGAACUUGAGCCCAUAUGACAUGGGAGCUGAACAUGAGCUCUGCAUGCUGGUCCCCGACAAGUCAACCUGCAGCAGUGUGAAGAAGAUGCUGCCAGACUAAAAGAUGGGUGUGAAUGAAACUGGUGAAGUUUUACGCUGCAGGAAGCUGAUGCGAGCGGUGCUGCUCACAGUUAUACAAUGACAAUUGCUUGGCUUACUCAGUCUUAAGGGACCUAUUAUAAAAAAGAGUGGAUGUCCACUAAAGCUGGAUCCAGAAACCUAAGCUGAAUGGCUAGAAGAAUGAAAAUGAGGUACAAAAUGUGUUUGUGGUUUUACAGGCAGAUUCUUGUUCUCUGCUCAGGAAAUGGUGAACUUACCGCAGCUUUGUGCCAACAAGGUAGUUUAGCCAUCGUGAAACGUGUCUGGGCUCAGCCAGAGAGCUGCUGGAUCCCAAGGAACUGAAUGGGGGGACAGAUCUUCAAAGCUGGGUUCGAUUUAGAGUUAGGCUGCCUUACAGGACAAGUCAGCCUGGAUCUGUAAUACUGUUCGAGACUCCAAGUAGAUUCUUGGUUUCACUUAGCUGUGAGUAGCUCUGGUUUUUUCCAGUCUGUUUGAACUCUGCAGUAUUUACCAUUCUUUUUUUCUGAUCAUCCUCAGUUAUCUGUGUGGCUGGUCUAUGCUCAUGGAAACUUAUUAACCCAUAAAAGAUAGGUCAGGAAAUAAUGUUUUGCACUGCAUCAGAAAAGCAGAGUAACAGAUAUGAGUAUAAAGUGCAGAUCUGCUUUGGCAAAGGGUACCACGUGUGGUGUAACUGAUACCACUCCCCAAAGAGGCUCUUGGGCUUUUAAGACCUGGAUGGCUCAGAGAGGAGGUCUCCACGCCUGCUCUGUUGCCGUACCAGGAGCUCUGUAACUCUCCCACAGGUAGGAGCAAAGUGCUAAGGGUAGAAUAAUUUUUACCUUCUCCUUUCUGAAGAGUCCUCAUCUUUUCUUCAAGCUCAGCAAUCUUCCUAUCCUUCAGGACCAGAACAAAUAAUGACCUUGUUUAGUUCCUUGGCCUUCAGGACCUUGAGGUACAGUUGGCAUAAUUAGUCCUGGCUGGGUGAGUCAGUGGUGCAAGCACCCUCACCCCACUCGGAGACAAAAAAAAUAAGGGUCAGAAAGGCUGUAUCACCUCACAAACACCUUAAUUAGACUCAAAUGAGGGGUGGAAUAUAAAUACACUGCUCCAAGAAUAGGUGAGAGACACGCUGACCUAUCUCCCUCUCCUUUAUCUGCACAAGAGCUGUAGGCAAAUGCACAGACUCCUGCCCCUGUGCUUCCUGCUCAGGCACAGCUCAUGCUCUGACCUGCAGUAAGUGGUUGAUCUAAAAAUGAAACCAGCAUCUCUGCAGUCUCCUCUUAAAAAAAAAAAAAGGGGGGGGGGUAUUUAUGCUAAAGCUGCAGUAAUGCAGAGAGGUCUGCUCUAGGAUGAAUCUGCUGUAUGAGCAGCUAUUGUUUCAAAAAGUGAAAGGAAGGAAGAAAAAAAAAAAAGUCUGAAGCCAGAGAACUAAUAACAUUAGGGACAGGGUGCUGAGAGUCAUUAUAUUGAGAAGUCACGGCACGGACUGUCCUCUCACCUGCCCCAAGGACUAAUAAUUGCUCUGUUGCUUUGCAAAGGCUUGUUUGUGUAAUUAAUGGAGCAGGCUAUGGAUUAACUUGUUUCAGCCCAAACUAGGUCUGAGCAGGUGUAAUGCUACUGUGGCAUCAACCAUCAAAGCAGGGCCCAGAACAGGUUCGGUAAGGGGCAGGAUUUUUACCUUCAGUUGGAUUUCUUGUGCUUGUUUCUCUAUUUUUUGUUCCAACAGAGUGAUUUUUUGCAUCAUGGAGGACAGGAGCUCUGCGUCGGUGCGAGCUGCGGCUGAAAGCACAAAUACGACGUGUUACCUCUCUAAAAUGGCGAUCGGUAUUGGAAGCUUAUCUGCGCCGUAGGGGACCCCACACAAGAAUUCCCGUUCUGCUGCAGCAGAUAGGACAAGGGUACUUUUGGGGGUACUCAAAGAAAUCCCUUGACUCCUGACUGGUAGGGAGAGAUGGUUGUGUCACCAACAGCACGCUGUGUAUGCGAAAGGGGGACCACAGGAAUUAGCCCUGGUGGUAUUGAGUCCACCAGACCAUGCCCAAGAAACUGUGAUGGCCCAGAAUCCCCUAAUCAUUGAGGGACUUUACCCUGCAUAUUCUUUUUCAGUGUUGUCCCCCUUGAGCAGGAGGAGAGACUGCCUUGCACUGGAUUCUUUGUCCUAGGAGACAGGCUGUCAUCUUCUGGGAAGAGGCACGAAGAGCAUGAAAGAAAGAAAACAGGUCAGCGUUUUGGAUAAGACUUCUCCAAAAGCAGCUUUUCCCUCACAGCAUUGCCAGCAAGCGUGACUUCCCCAAGUUGAUGGGGCUGGUGCGGAGGAGGGUGUGAUUGGUGAGACAGCCACUGCUGUGCUUGAAGCCUCCGAUUGCAGUUGCUGUGAGCAGAUGAGGAAGUGUCACGGCUCAUAGUGAGGUGAAUCCUGACCAUGCAGCUCCUCCAGCGUGCCCACCUGUUCCUCCUGCUCGCCCUCCUUCUCCUCUGCAUGCUCUUUAGCAAGGCAGAGGAGAGUGUGAGUACAACCAACUCCACUUACCCCACCCUUGUGAGAAGCCUGAGUUCCCCCUGUGGCAGCCCACCCCUCCUCUCCCUCACCCUGGGGCUGGCUGUGGCUUUCUUCCUGUGGCUGCGCUAACCCGGAGGGGACCAUCCCUGCGCCACCACACACCCCCCCCCAAGAAGACACCUCCAGGAUGGCAUUCCCUGCACCACCACCUCCUCGGACCCUUGCAGAGUGGAGGACCAGCCCGCAUCGCUCCCAUCGCUGCCUCCCUUUGCUCGGGUGUUGCCGUUUUCCUCGCUUUCCCACCUCAAAAUGAAACCCUGAACCUCCUUCGGCUCGAAGAAAAGCCGUGAGGCCUGUUCUGGGCCCCUGAGAAAUAAAAGCGCUGGGAUUAGA